RNAcentral lists this ribosomal RNA (363 nucleotides) under uncultured bacterium. Its description in RNAcentral is "bacterial SSU rRNA". It matches the Rfam family "Bacterial small subunit ribosomal RNA", at positions 29 to 393 of the family's 1533-position model. The record is from RNAcentral.
AAUCAACGCUGGCGGCGCGCUUAACACAUGCAAGUCGAGCGAGAAAGUGGAGCAAUCCAUGAGUACAGCGGCGUACGGGUGAGUAACACGUGGGUGAUCUACCUCUUAGUGGGGAAUAACCCUGGGAAACCGGGCGUAAUACCGCAUAAGCCUGAGAAGGGAAAGUGGCUUUGUGAAAGCAGAGCCGCGCUGAGAGAGGAGCCCGCGGCUGAUUAGCAGUUGGUGAGGUAACGGCCCACCAAGGCAUAGAUCGGUAGCCGGCCUGAGAGGGCACACGGCCACACUGGCACUGAAACACGGGCCAGACUCCUACGGGAGGCAGCAGUGGGAAUCUUGCACAAUGGGGGAAACCCUGAUGCAGCG